This is a long non-coding RNA of Scylla paramamosain (green mud crab), 2263 nucleotides long. RefSeq lists it as uncharacterized. The transcript has 2 exons. The record is from RefSeq and is a predicted model, not a curated record. NCBI's taxonomy places the organism in Eukaryota, Metazoa, Arthropoda, Malacostraca, Decapoda, Portunidae.
UGGUACAUGUGCUAAUUCUGGGCAAACCACGGGGACAGUUCAGACCCACCGUCCUUUGCAAGCUGGGGUAAUCUCUGGCCUGGGAACGUCCACUGCCUAGACUGCAGGUGUGCCGAGAUUGCAUGGACGCCUACUGUGUCAGUCAGGCAGCUGUUACUCCUGCUGCUGCAACUGCUACGCUACUGCUGAAAGGUAGUGUGAAUACCCUUUGCAAAGUUUUAGCGGAAAAAUGCUUCUUACAAUGGUGAACACACGCCGCCUGCUGCAGUGUUGGUGGUGGUGAGUGCAGUAUUCAUCAGCUGUUCCCAGUUUGUCUCCUUAGCUUCCCUCGACGCGUUAAAUGACGUCUUUGCUUGACAACGCUGAUGUGUUUUUCCUCGCGUCGCUGCGUCUCAGUGAGAGAGAGAGAGAGAGAGAGAGAGAGAGAGAGAGAGAGAGAGAGAGAGAGAGAGAGAGAGAGAGAGAGAGAGAGGAUGAGUGUAGCAGCGGAGCAUUAUGCCAGUGUUUGUGAGCGUUGGGAGUGAUGGAGCUUCCCUGCACGGCUCAGUAACUCCUUUGUUUUCUCGUGGAGUGUGAUUGUGAUGAAAGGGAUAUUAUAAUACACAGGAGGGGAAGUGCAUAUUGUUGCGGUCCGUGAUAAUGUUGGGCAUUUGGUAACAGUAAGUGGUCCGGGAGACUCAACAGGGGAACAGCAUAUGAGAGUUAAUGGAGGAUACAGUGUAUGGUAUCCUGUUAUUAUAAUUUAUCUGUAACCUGAGAUUGCAUGCUGGGUCCUGUGCUGGUGUGGGGCUGGGGCUGGCCUGAGAAAUGUGUGUAGUGUCCUGUUAAGUGCGGCGGGGGUUGUGAUGAUGUACGGAAGGGGAGCACGGCUUUGUUCCUGAGGGGCGGGCCGGGGCUCAGAUAAGGGUGAGCACAGUGAUCAGUUUGUAGUGGUGUCAUGACCCUUGUGUGCAGGUAGUGUUGCUGGUGGCCAGGAAAACAGUGGCGGUUACCUGUGUUGCCCUGUGUAGUUUGUCAUGUUUAGUAUUAUCAAUCAAUGUGUGUUGACAGAGGGCGUGUUUAGUGCCACUGUGCUGGUGUAUGAAUGUGUGCCAUUACUUAUCUGUUUUAUUUUCUAGAUUUAUUUCAUGAAACCUGGACUUGAGAAUGUCUGAGGAAAAGGAUGUUGACGUUGCUGUUGUAAUGUGUGUGUGUGUGUGUGUGUGUGUGUGUGUGUGUGUGUGUGUGUGUGUGUGUGUGUGUGUGUGUGUGUUUAAAUGCGAGGGCGUUACAGUCAGCGCUUUUAUUUGUCAUGGUCCAAGAUUAAGAAAUAUACGUUUAAUAAUGUCCUCUUAAGUUUUACGACAGCGUUAUUACAAACCAUAAAGAUUAUCACAUUAUAAAGAGAAGUCAUAAAAGGGACACGACUUCUGAAACAGUAAAUACAGCGCCAUCCCAAUGCAGCGGCAGCGGGAGCAAGAGGAGGGCGUGGGGGCGGGAAACGUGUCCCUCCACCAGCCUGCCAGCAGCACGCCUUGGCCACGGCCAGCAGCUCGCCGGGGACCCAUGUUUUGUCUUGGCCCGGCCCUCGUGUGUGCCCUGCAGCUUCCUAAAUCCAAGUGCUCUUGCUGUGCCACGGAACUUCUAGUCCAAAGGAUGCCGACCUUGCAUGGACUAUUUUGAGCAUAGACUCUAACCGAAGUUUUUUUUUUUUUUUUCCACAAAUGCGUUCGUUUGCUUGUGAUCUUACGUGGCUGCUUAGUGUGUGUUUACUUUUAUCAGAUAAAGUUUAUAUUUGUGGAGGCUUUGGACCUUGAAACUGGUCGCUAAGGAAGGGAACCACCCAUUGGAAAAGUUUUUCGAACAGCCUUAGGUCGAUGGUUAUCCAGACAGCGAUGCUGUGGUCCACUUGGCCCAGGAAGUCGCGGAGGAAGUGUGCGAGGAAGAGACAUAAAAAGGAAAGGUUCUCUUGUCCUCCCUGGUGCAGAAGGUAAAGUGUAAGAGGCAUGCCAGGCUUCCUCAAGUGUUCCUAGGGACUCGUGGUAAUGGCGAGGCUUGAAAGAGGUCAAUGGAACAUGAGUCUCCCCCGGCAGAGGAGAGCAAUGGAUGGGUGAUAAUGGACCAAAAAUAAUGUGAACGAUCGAUACACUGCUCACCACACCGUACAAAUGGGAACGUUUCCAAUGCUCCACGGUACUUGAACUUUAUAAAUAAUUUGAGGCAGGAGGCAGGAGUUUGAAGUUCAAGACAUUUUCUUGUUUGGUGUUUCUUUUCUACUCGUUCA